This 397-nucleotide ribosomal RNA is filed under the name uncultured bacterium. RNAcentral describes it as "bacterial SSU rRNA". It matches the Rfam family "Bacterial small subunit ribosomal RNA", at positions 28 to 428 of the family's 1533-position model. The record is from RNAcentral.
GACGAACGCUGGCGGCGUGCUUAACACAUGCAAGUCGAGCGGUAAGGCCCUUUCGGGGGUACACGAGCGGCGAACGGGUGAGUAACACGUGGGUGACCUGCCCUCAGCUCUGGGAUAAGCCUGGGAAACCGGGUCUAAUACUGGAUAUGACUCCAUGACGCAUGUUGUGGGGUGGAAAGCCUUGUGCGGCUGAGGAUGGGCCCGCGGCCUAUCAGCUUGUUGGUGGGGUGANGGCCUACCAAGGCGACGACGGGUAGCCGGCCUGAGAGGGCGACCGGCCACACUGGGACUGAGACACGGCCCAGACUCCUACGGGAGGCAGCAGUGGGGAAUCUUGCGCAAUGGGCGAAAGCCUGACGCAGCGACGCCGCGUGAGGGAUGACGGCCUCGGUCGUAA